UUUAAUUGAAGCUAAAAUAUGAGCAUCUUAUUGUUAAUAAGAAAUAUGAAGAAAAUUCCAAUUAAAA
RNAcentral lists this transfer RNA (67 nucleotides) under Busonia albilateralis. RNAcentral's name for it is "tRNA-Asn". The record is from RNAcentral. Lineage: Eukaryota; Metazoa; Arthropoda; Insecta; Hemiptera; Cicadellidae.